AGCGAACUUUAGGGGUGUCUGCGAUCAAAUGCAGGCUGAGAUUUUACCCUUAGAACCUGAUCCGGAUCAUACCGGCGUAGGGAAAAGUAGACUGUCUUCA
RNAcentral lists this non-coding RNA (100 nucleotides) under Bacteroidota bacterium. RNAcentral describes it as "Bacteroidetes bacterium TPP sequence". It matches the Rfam family "TPP riboswitch aptamer (THI element)". Rfam says of the family: Vitamin B(1) in its active form thiamin pyrophosphate (TPP) is an essential coenzyme that is synthesised by coupling of pyrimidine and thiazole moieties in bacteria. The record is from RNAcentral. Lineage: Bacteria; Pseudomonadati; Bacteroidota.